Molecule: ribosomal RNA, 467 nt
Filed under: uncultured bacterium
Lineage: Bacteria
Description: bacterial SSU rRNA
Rfam family: Bacterial small subunit ribosomal RNA
Source: RNAcentral
UCGGGAAUUUUGGGCAAUGGGGGAAACCCUGACCCAGCAACGCCGCGUGAGGGAUGAAGGUCUUCGGAUUGUAAACCUCUUUUGUGAGGGAAGAAUCGGCGCGUGAAGAGCGCGUCUUGACGGUACUUCAUGAAUAAGCCACGGCUAACUACGUGCCAGCAGCCGCGGUAAUACGUAGGGUGCAAGCGUUAAUCGGAAUUACUGGGCGUAAAGCGUGCGCAGGCGGUUGUGUAAGUCAGAUGUGAAAUCCCCGGGCUCAACCUGGGAAUUGCAUUUGAGACUGCACGGCUAGAGUGUGUCAGAGGGGGGUAGAAUUCCACGUGUAGCAGUGAAAUGCGUAGAUAUGUGGAGGAAUACCGAUGGCGAAGGCAGCCCCCUGGGAUAACACUGACGCUCAUGCACGAAAGCGUGGGGAGCAAACAGGAUUAGAUACCCCAGUAGUCCCUGAGCGGGCUGGCAAGGCGCAU